Molecule: long non-coding RNA, 593 nt
Filed under: Homo sapiens (human)
Lineage: Eukaryota; Metazoa; Chordata; Mammalia; Primates; Hominidae
Description: non-protein coding lnc-MTRNR2L12-9:1
Source: RNAcentral
UAAAACCACCAUAAUCAUAGGUUUCAUCAUAAAAAUUGGGAUCAUAAGGCUGUGCACGUCCUUUGAUGGGAGACUCAUAUAUAAGAUCAAGGAUGAUCUUUAUGCACUCUACAACCCUAUCGGGUUUUCCUCCAAUAAGAACAGCCCUCUUCCAAGGUAGGGAUGAUUUUCUUCAGAAUUUCUCCAAUUGUGUCAAUACCAGCACUGAUACUCAAUAUGUGCUCGGGGCCACUGCUGUCUGGGACUGAAACACUGGCAUUGUAGUCUGUACGGAGAGCCUUGAUAUUCUUGCCUCCUUUUCCAAUCACUGCCCCAGCAUUCUUGGUCUGAAGCAGAAUGCGUAAUUCAACCAUCUCAUCAGUGUUUCUAGAUCUUUUAAAUGCUUGUUACUCUUCCAUAUCUUCUGCAGGGUGUUUACCAAAUUCACCAUUGGUUUCAGUGUUCGGGAAGGUUUCUUCCGGCUGUUCAGUUUACAUAUUCUUUUAUUAAAUGGGCACACCAAUCAGUUAUUAUAUAUCCUUGCAGAGCAGAACUGAAGCGUUCUGGGUGGGACCAACAACUGACACCCCAGUGCUGCAGUAGCCUAUAGUCAG